RNAcentral lists this ribosomal RNA (409 nucleotides) under Salmonella enterica subsp. enterica serovar Typhimurium. RNAcentral describes it as "bacterial SSU rRNA". It matches the Rfam family "Bacterial small subunit ribosomal RNA", at positions 939 to 1349 of the family's 1533-position model. Lineage: Bacteria; Pseudomonadati; Pseudomonadota; Gammaproteobacteria; Enterobacterales; Enterobacteriaceae. The record is from RNAcentral.
AUGUGGUUUAAUUCGAAGCAACGCGAAGAACCUUACCAGGUCUUGACAUCCUCUGACAACCCUAGAGAUAGGGCUUCUCCUUCGGGAGCAGAGUGACAGGUGGUGCAUGGUUGUCGUCAGCUCGUGUCGUGAGAUGUUGGGUUAAGUCCCGCAACGAGCGCAACCCUUGAUCUUAGUUGCCAUCAUUAAGUUGGGCACUCUAAGGUGACUGCCGGUGACAAACCGGAGGAAGGUGGGGAUGACGUCAAAUCAUCAUGCCCCUUAUGACCUGGGCUACACACGUGCUACAAUGGACGGUACAAAGAGCUGCAAGACCGCGAGGUGGAGCUAAUCUCAUAAAACCGUUCUCAGUUCGGAUUGUAGGCUGCAACUCGCCUACAUGAAGCUGGAAUCGCUAGUAAUCGCGGAU